AGGAAAACGAGUAUGCUUUCCUGGCACUAGAGUGGUCCUUUAAGGCACAACAGGGUAAUCCCUAAAUCCUGGACUAAUCUUGGACUGGUAGGGGGUACUUGAGUUGGGUUAGGAACACCUAGACUAGACCAAAAUCAACUACUUUGAUAAUUUCAGUAGAGAUGAAUGAAAUGGCUGUCGAGAGAAGACUGGGCGGGCUUGUUUUAUGGCUUAUUUAAUUUAUUUGAUUUAAAGGGGGGGCUGAAUUUAAUAUAUUUAUUUUUUAAAGUUAUAGUGUUCCUAUAGAGUUGAGCCUAACUAAUAAACAGUUUGACAUAAAACUGGAGGAUAUCACCUAGACACUGAAGAGCUGUAGUGUAUGUUACUUACUCUGUCGCAUUCAAUUUCUGCUUACUAUGUAAUAAUAUUAUAUUUAACCGGAAAAUACCACUACAUAACUAGUGUUCUACAAGCAGCUUUCUUAGUAUUAGUCCUGGUCUUUUAUUUAGGAAACGGACGUGUAUUUGCUAAAUUGUAAAAUGUGGCCAUUUUAGAAAAAAUAUUUAGGCCGUAAACUUUUGAGUCAAGUUCAACUCUGGCCUAAAAAUACAGUAAACAAAUACAUGUUGUGCGGAAAGCAAAUUAAUUGUGUAUUGUACUAUUUCCUAACCUAAUGACUUGAAUACGGUUUCCAAAUUUAGAACGUGGACAUUGUGAUACAGAUUAUUAUAAUUUAUUAUAAAUAGGUAUCUGUCUCGCGAUUAUGGAACUGAAAAUCCCAAGGAACACAUAUAACAAAAUAAAUGACAGGAGCUUUGCCGAAUAUAUCCCGCAGUACUUCCCAUUAACAGCAAUUACCAAUUACUUAGCAGCAGUUAAUUAUUUUUUAAUUAAUGCUAGGCUCUUUAUUAGCCUGUCUGUGCAACAGUAUAUAUUAAACCCCCGCUUAAAUGAACUUUGCAUCUUGUUGUGUUUUUAAUAAUGGUUAAAAUAAUACUUGACAUUCAACAUGAUCUACGAGUGGUCCUUUAAGUAAAAGUCUUCUAGUGUUGUGAAAUCCUCAUACCGCCACUCUUUGUUCAACAGCAAACUAAAAGAAUGGGUAGAAAAUGUUGUAGCCUUAUGUUGUGUAUAGUUUAUCAUUAACGGGAAACUGUAGGCACACAGGCCACUUCAGUUCAUUGAAGAGGUCUGGGUGCAAUGUCCCAUGUCCCUUAACCAUACAAAGGUAAUUACUGCAGUUUCUGAAAAACUGCAAUAACUACCUGCUAGGGUUAGCUCCUCUUCUAGUGGCCUUCUACUAGACAGCCACUAGAGGGACUUCCGGGUGCUUAGAUGACUGUUGAUCGCCUAAGUGACGCUGGAUGUCCUCACGCUAUGCGGUUUCACAAUACUUAAGUGUUGUAGGUGCAGUACCCCUGUCGUUUUAAACCUGCAAUGUAAAACAUUGCUGUCUUCCUGAUUGCGACUAGAGGCACUUUGACUGCAAUAACCGAGUCCAAAACUGUUAUUCAAUUAAGUGCUGUUCGUAGAGACAAUCUGAUUGGCGCAGCAUGACGAUUUGCUGCACAUGCGCACUAGCCUCCCAAUGCUUCUCUUCGGGGAAUCAUUGGCUUGUCUGAGAUAAAGAAUCUGUAUCUCAGCCCUGGAAGCGCAUGGGAAGACCAGCACAGCAAGGGAGUAGGGGUAAGUAAAACAUACCUAGCUUUAAAAACCCUCAUGGGGGGCGUUUGUGGACAGACACUUAAAUAGGUGGGGUAACACUAGAGCCUUAGGAACAUGUGUGUAUUACUAACGCCAUAGCUUCCUUUAAUCUAACAUACUGUUAAAGCGUUUUUUUUGUUUGUUUUUGUCACUUGAGAUGAAUGUUAUCUUGCUAACGUAAAUGGAAUACUGUAUGUGCUUUGAUAUGAGAACAUCUAAGCGUGUAGCGUUUGUAUAAUUGUUUGCACUUGCAUGUGCACCUUCCUUUUUGCAUUAACCAUUCUGACACUUUUGAUCUUGACUGCAUCUACACGCUACUCUUAGUCAAUUAGAGUGUAAGCCCUGUGAAACAGCAAUCUUUGAAUUGUUUCUCUUAGGACUCAAUGCUUACUGGAAAUGUUUACUGGAACUCCAGUUGUACUUAAUGUAACACUGUUAUAUUUAUUGUUCUGUUUAUUGUGUAAAGAACUGUGCAUAAUGUGAAGCUGUUGUAUUUGAAUAAAGUAAAAUGGAUGCCUAA
Long non-coding RNA from Pelobates fuscus (common spadefoot toad), 2203 nucleotides. RefSeq lists it as uncharacterized. The transcript is spliced from 2 exons. The record is from RefSeq and is a predicted model, not a curated record. Lineage: Eukaryota; Metazoa; Chordata; Amphibia; Anura; Pelobatidae.